This 339-nucleotide ribosomal RNA is filed under the name uncultured bacterium. RNAcentral describes it as "bacterial SSU rRNA". It matches the Rfam family "Bacterial small subunit ribosomal RNA", at positions 32 to 361 of the family's 1533-position model. The record is from RNAcentral.
AAUCAACGCUGGCGGCGUGCCUCAGACAUGCAGGUCGAACGAUUAAAGCUCUCUUCGGAGAGUGUAUAGAGUGGCGCACGGGUGAGUAACACGUAAGUAAUCUACCUUUGAGUGGGGAAUAACCCGGGGAAACCCGAGCUAAUACCGCAUAAUGCAGCGGCACCGCAAGGUGACAGUUGUUAAAGGAGCAAUCCGCUUAAAGAGGAGCUUGCGGCAGAUUAGCUAGUGGUUAAGGUAAUGGCUUACCAAGGCUUCGAUCUGUAUCCGGCCUGAGAGGGCGGUCGGACACACUGACACUGAAUAACGGGUCAGACUCCUACGGGAGGCAGCAGUCGGGAA